Molecule: transfer RNA, 74 nt
Filed under: Stereum hirsutum FP-91666 SS1
Lineage: Eukaryota; Fungi; Basidiomycota; Agaricomycetes; Russulales; Stereaceae
Description: tRNA-Val (TAC) (tRNA-Val-TAC-1-1)
Rfam family: tRNA
About the family: Transfer RNA (tRNA) molecules are approximately 80 nucleotides in length. Their secondary structure includes four short double-helical elements and three loops (D, anti-codon, and T loops). Further hydrogen bonds mediate the characteristic L-shaped molecular structure. tRNAs have two regions of fundamental functional importance: the anti-codon, which is responsible for specific mRNA codon recognition, and the 3' end, to which the tRNAs corresponding amino acid is attached (by aminoacyl-tRNA synthetases). tRNAs cope with the degeneracy of the genetic code in two manners: having more than one tRNA (with a specific anti-codon) for a particular amino acid; and 'wobble' base-pairing, i.e. permitting non-standard base-pairing at the 3rd anti-codon position.
Source: RNAcentral
GACUCGAUGGCGUAGUUGGUUAUCGCAUCUGUUUUACACACAGAAGGUCCCCAGUUCGAGCCUGGGUCGAGUCA